This 504-nucleotide ribosomal RNA is filed under the name uncultured bacterium. Its description in RNAcentral is "partial 16S ribosomal RNA". It matches the Rfam family "Bacterial small subunit ribosomal RNA", at positions 30 to 523 of the family's 1533-position model. The record is from RNAcentral.
AUUGAACGCUGGCGGCAGGCCUAACACAUGCAAGUCGAGCGGUAGCACAGAGAGCUUGCUCUCGGGUGACGAGCGGCGGACGGGGGAGUAAUGUCAGGGAAACUGCCGGAUGGCGGGGUAUAACUACUGGAAACGGUAGCUAAUACCGUAUAACGGCGCAAGAGCAAAGGGGGGGACCUUCGGGCCUCUUGCCAUUGGAUGUGCCCGGAUGGGAUUAGCUAGUAGGUGGGGUAACGGCUCACCUAGGCGACGAUCCCUAGCUGGUCUGAGAGGAUGACCAGCCACACUGGAACUGAGACACGGUCCAGACUCCUACGGGAGGCAGCAGUGGGGAAUAUUGCACAAUGGGCGCAAGCCUGAUGCAGCCAUGCCGCGUGUAUGAAGAAAGCCUUCGGGUUGUAAAGUACUUUCAGCGGGGAGGAAGGGAGUAAAGUUAAUACCUUUGCUCAUUGACGUUACCCGCAGAAGAAGCACCGGCUAACUCCGUGCCAGCCGCCGCUGUAA